RNAcentral lists this small nuclear RNA (351 nucleotides) under Castor canadensis (American beaver). Its description in RNAcentral is "7SK RNA (ENSCCNG00000027541.1)". It matches the Rfam family "7SK RNA". Rfam says of the family: 7SK was discovered as an abundant small nuclear RNA in the mid-70s but a possible function has only recently been suggested. Two independent studies have found that 7SK RNA binds the CDK9/cyclin T complex (known as elongation factor P-TEFb). P-TEFb activates transcription by phosphorylating the C-terminal domain of RNA polymerase II. Lineage: Eukaryota; Metazoa; Chordata; Mammalia; Rodentia; Castoridae. The record is from RNAcentral.
GGAUGUGACAGCCAUCUGGCUGUGACAUAUGUCACCCUAUUGAUCACCAGGGUUGACUCAGCUGAUCUGGAUGGCUAGGUGGGUGUCCCCUCCCUCCUUCACGGCUCCAUGUGUGUCCCUCCCAAAGCUGUGUGCCCGGUCCAAGAGGACAACCAUUCCCAAUAGAGGAGGACUGUUCUUUGGUCAAGGGUAUACAAGUAGCUGUGCUCCCAUUAAAACCUCCAAACGCUCUCAAAAUAGGGUCUACUGGACCUGAGUAGCCUCCUGAGUAGCUAGGAUUACAGGCGUGAGACACCGGCACCAGCUCAGGCUCAGAUAUUCACUUCUUAAAAUAUUUUUACUAAGUUUACU